Molecule: ribosomal RNA, 450 nt
Filed under: uncultured bacterium
Lineage: Bacteria
Description: bacterial SSU rRNA
Rfam family: Bacterial small subunit ribosomal RNA
Source: RNAcentral
GUGGGGAAUAUUGGACAAUGGGCGAAAGCCUGAUCCAGCCAUGCCGCGUGUGUGAAGAAGGUCUUCGGAUUGUAAAGCACUUUAAGUUGGGAGGAAGGGCAGUAAGUUAAUACCAUGCUGUUUUGACGUUACCGACAGAAUAAGCACCGGCUAACUUCGUGCCAGCAGCCGCGGUAAUACGAAGGGUGCACGCGUUAAUCGGAAUUACUGGGCGUAAAGCGCGCGUAGGUGGUUUUGUAAGUUGGAGGUGAAAUCCCCGGGCUCAACCUGGGAACUGCCUCCAAAACUGCAUGACUAGAGUACGGUAGAGGGUAGUGGAAUUUCCUGUGUAGCGGUGAAAUGCGUAGAUAUAGGAAGGAACACCAGUGGCGAAGGCGACUACCUGGACUGAUACUGACACUGAGGUGCGAAAGCGUGGGGAGCAAACAGGAUUAGAUACCCCUGUAGUCC